UGUUCCAGUGAAAACAUCUUGACAUGGCACAGUUGGAACGGCACAGGUGUAAAUAAUACAAUUAAUGGUGACUGGAUUGCGUUUAGCUGCUUCAGUUUCAGGUUAAAGGGAUUUUGUAUGGCGGCUUGUGACAAAGUCAAGAUCAAAUAAUAGAAACAGAGAAGUCCUAAUUGUACAUUUAAAAUAUGCAAAAGCAGUUGUGACUUCAAAAUUUGGCUCAAUGAGUUAGUCCCUGGCAAUGUUAGUGAUCAAUUUGAAUAUUUAGAAUCAGAUUUAGGGUGAAAAGAUUGCAGUGCUCAAUCUGACAGACUCGAAUCUAUCUCCUGGGCCCAAGUUUUUUUUUAUUAUGUGGCUAUUAAAACUUUUAAUGACUAUCUAAACUGACACUGGCCAUCUAGACAUGAUUUUGUUUUGCAAAACAAAAUAAAAUGGGAGCCAUAAAUAGAUAUUCUGAGAACUGAGCCAUCAGUAAUACCUGUACAUCUAUAUGUCUUCUGCAAUAACAUUUAAUAAUGUCUGCUGUGAGGAAGGCCUCUGUUUAAUCCUUGUUAUGUUAAUUAGCUGCCACAGCAAAUAUAAAUGAAACUCAGGUAUUCUAGUAACAGGUAAGUUACUCUGUCAGCAAGGACUUUAAAAGCAGCCAGAGAUUAAAGUUGGAUUUGUUCUUUGUAUUAAUAAGUACAAUAUAUUAGCAAGUGUCAAAGGCUAAAACUGCAGCAGAAUGAACCAACUUCACUCCUGUGCCUUGGUAUAAAAUGAUCAGUUGCUAUUGAUCAAUAAUUUAGACAAGUGCCAGAUUAUUGACAGGAAGACAAAAUAUGUUUGGUUGCCUAUGUUUGAAAAAUCCCCCCACACACUCAAUCACUAGAACUGAAAUUGCUCCGUGGUAUAUAAUAUCGCAGCAAUGUUUCUUUCCCCCCCUGCAGAUCAAUGCUAAUUGAGGUCCUACAUGAUGAAUGUAGUCUGAAAUGUUUUUAACCCACUGACUGCUGAGCAGCAACAAACAUAAGCAACUGCUGGGCUAAGUUAAGGCUGAAGUGAAGCCUCCGCUGAGGGACAGCGAUACAAUAUGAUGAUCAGCACAGCCAACAGAAGGAUGCCGGUCGAUCCCUGAAGCCCUUCAAAAGCAACUCUCUUGGUGCAAAUUCAGCUUGUGGACAGCACAUAGCAGAUGGGGUAAACCAUGCCAUCAAGUGGAAAAUAGACCUGUUGUGUUGUCACGGAGACAAGAUACAAGAUACAAGAGUCUGCCAAUUGGACCACCAGAGGAAACUGUAAGGGGGAUUUUUAACAAGUAGCAGUAGCAACAACAUGAAGCCUUUAUUCUUAACUUUAUAUUCACUGAGUCAAAGAGCCUGUUUCUGUUUAAGACAGACUUACCUGUCAAACACCUUUUCCGCUAAAUCUGAAAAAGAUAGAACUGGUGUUUUUCCUGUACUAUUGAUGCUUUAGUGGGACAUUUAACACCAUGCGCUGUUUCUGUCAUUUCAUGUUCUGUAGUGUAAAAGUCAAGCAAAGAGGAUUAAACUGACAAAUAUCCUGACUCACUGCUGCCACCUUGUGCCGGUGAAGGGAAGAGGCAAAGCCCCUGUUUAUCCAAGCCACUUUGCAGUCAUAAAAUUUUGUAGCGGUGCCAUUCACAGUACGCAACAACAUAUAUAAGCUCAUCUACACUGAUUUGAAAUAAGUACAUAAAUAAAAUGUGGGCCUGGGUUGUUAAUUUUCACAUUUCUAUCUAAGUGGCAUUUCCCCUGGUCUAAAACAAGUUUUCUUUAUGUUAUUUUAGCCUCUGAUCCAACAAAAUGUCAUUCAGAUGGUUUCAGCUCACUUUAUUUAAUAUAAUUAUAAAAUAAUUCACAUCAGUGGCAGGAAAGCAGCAUUUUUUUUUCUACAUUUAAAGAAGGAAAAAACUAAACUAUCCUAGUACUAUCCUGAUUUCUUUUCUUUUUUCAUAAAAAAGAAGCACUUGCACCAAACAGGUACUUUCAAAUUUAUAGGAGGCAGUAAGGGCGUAAACAGACAACUCCAUCACAGCAAAGUCAAGUGUCAUUUUUGGCAGUAUUUCACAAUUUAAUAGUACUUCCAUAAUUCAUAGGCCAACAACAUCUCAACAGGUCAUUUUUACAAAAGCCAUUUAAGGGACUUAAUGGGAAAUAGUCAUAAUAAAUUCUUAUACUUAUUCAAAAGCUAUGUAUUUAUUAAUUUUAUGAAUUAAAGGGGAAGUUCACCCACAUCACAGAAAAAAAGAAAAUUCUACUCAUUACACUGUACAUGUAACCAUGCAAUUCAUCUCAGCUGUCACUGGGAAACUACUGACAGCAGUGAGACUUUACAGAUGAUCCUGAGGAGCCAGGAUCAUUUCUGGAAGACGUGCAGUAAGCACCGGAAACAAAACUGCAUCCACCUUCCUUGUUUGUUGGUGGCAGCAGAAGACGCAGAAGUGGAGAUAAUAAAAUCUGAAUAAACAAAACAAAUAUUUACACAAUUAAGUGGUAAGUGCGAGUAUGCUUUUUGUGCGAUUUGGUUGAAAUGACCCUUUAAGCUGGCACACACAUGCAAAAUGAAAUGUUUAAUUAAACUCAAA
Long non-coding RNA from Oreochromis niloticus (Nile tilapia), 2584 nucleotides. RefSeq lists it as uncharacterized. The transcript is spliced from 2 exons. NCBI's taxonomy places the organism in Eukaryota, Metazoa, Chordata, Actinopteri, Cichliformes, Cichlidae. The record is from RefSeq and is a predicted model, not a curated record.